GAAUGCUGACAUAAGUAACGAUAAAGCGGGUGAAAAGCCCGCUCGCCGGAAGACCAAGGGUUCCUGUCCAACGUUAAUCGGGGCAGGGUGAGUCGACCCCUAAGGCGAGGCCGAAAGGCGUAGUCGAUGGGAAACGGGUUAAUAUUCCCGUACUUGGUGUUACUGCGAAGGGGGGACGGAGAAGGCUAUGUUGGCCGGGCGACGGUUGUCCCGGUUUAAGCGUGUAGGUGUGUGUUCCAGGUAAAUCCGGUUCACUUUAACACUGAGGCGUGACGACGAGGCACUACGGUGCUGAAGCAACAAAUGCCCUGCUUCCAGGAAAAGCCUCUAAGCAUCAGGUAACAUCAAAUCGUACCCCAAACCGACACAGGUGGUCAGGUAGAGAAUACCAAGGCGCUUGAGAGAACUCGGGUGAAGGAACUAGGCAAAAUGGUGCCGUAACUUCGGGAGAAGGCACGCUGACACGUAGGUGAAGUGAUUUACUCAUGGAGCUGAAGUCAGUCGAAGAUACCAGCUGGCUGCAACUGUUUAUUAAAAACACAGCACUGUGCAAACACGAAAGUGGACGUAUACGGUGUGACGCCUGCCCGGUGCCGGAAGGUUAAUUGAUGGGGUCAGCGCAAGCGAAGCUCCUGAUCGAAGCCCCGGUAAACGGCGGCCGUAACUAUAACGGUCCUAAGGUAGCGAAAUUCCUUGUCGGGUAAGUUCCGACCUGCACGAAUGGCGUAAUGAUGGCCAGGCUGUCUCCACCCGAGACUCAGUGAAAUUGAACUCGCUGUGAAGAUGCAGUGUACCCGCGGCAAGACGGAAAGACCCCGUGAACCUUUACUAUAGCUUGACACUGAACAUUGAGCCUUGAUGUGUAGGAUAGGUGGGAGGCUUUGAAGCGUGGACGCCAGUCUGCGUGGAGCCGACCUUGAAAUACCACCCUUUAAUGUUUGAUGUUCUAACGUGGACCCGUGAUCCGGGUUGCGGACAGUGUCUGGUGGGUAGUUUGACUGGGGCGGUCUCCUCCUAAAGAGUAACGGAGGAGCACGAAGGUUGGCUAAUCCUGGUCGGACAUCAGGAGGUUAGUGCAAUGGCAUAAGCCAGCUUGACUGCGAGCGUGACGGCGCGAGCAGGUGCGAAAGCAGGUCAUAGUGAUCCGGUGGUUCUGAAUGGAAGGGCCAUCGCUCAACGGAUAAAAGGUACUCCGGGGAUAACAGGCUGAUACCGCCCAAGAGUUCAUAUCGACGGCGGUGUUUGGCACCUCGAUGUCGGCUCAUCACAUCCUGGGGCUGAAGUAGGUCCCAAGGGUAUGGCUGUUCGCCAUUUAAAGUGGUACGCGAGCUGGGUUUAGAACGUCGUGAGACAGUUCGGUCCCUAUCUGCCGUGGGCGCUGGAGAACUGAGGGGGGCUGCUCCUAGUACGAGAGGACCGGAGUGGACGCAUCACUGGUGUUCGGGUUGUCAUGCC
RNAcentral lists this ribosomal RNA (1455 nucleotides) under Salmonella enterica. RNAcentral describes it as "partial 23S ribosomal RNA". It matches the Rfam family "Bacterial large subunit ribosomal RNA", at positions 1292 to 2730 of the family's 2925-position model. The record is from RNAcentral. Lineage: Bacteria; Pseudomonadati; Pseudomonadota; Gammaproteobacteria; Enterobacterales; Enterobacteriaceae. RNAcentral also lists the same sequence under 2 other names.